RNAcentral lists this ribosomal RNA (361 nucleotides) under uncultured bacterium. RNAcentral describes it as "bacterial SSU rRNA". It matches the Rfam family "Bacterial small subunit ribosomal RNA", at positions 441 to 793 of the family's 1533-position model. The record is from RNAcentral.
AGGAAGGUAGUGUAGUUAACACCUGCACUAUUUGACGUUACCUACAGAAGAAGCACCGGCUAACUCCGUGCCAGCAGCCGCGGUAAUACGGAGGGUGCGAGCGUUAAUCGGAAUUACUGGGCGUAAAGCGCAUGCAGGCGGCCUGUUAAGUCAGAUGUGAAAGACCCGGGGCGUUAACCUCGGAAUUGCAUUUGAAACUGGCAGGCUAGAGUCUUGUAGAGGGGGGUAGGAAGUUUCAGGUGUAGCGGUGAAAUGCGUAGAGAUCUGAAGGAAUACCAGUGGCGAAGGCGGCCCCCUCGGACAAAGACUGACGCUCAGAUGCGAAAGCGUGGGGAGCAAACAGGAUUAGAUACCCUGGUAG